GAUGAACGCUGGCGGCGUGCCUAAUACAUGCAAGUCGAGCGAACGGACUAUAAGCUUUCUUCUCUUAUGUUUGCGUCUGACGGGUGAGUAACACGUGUAUAACCUACCUAUUUUUCUUGGAUAACUUCGUGAAACCUUUUCUACUACCGUAUAAUAUUUUCAACCGCUUUGUUCAUAAGUUCUUUACGUUCUUUCUGUCUCUUUUAGAUGUUUCCUCGCUGCAUUAGCUAGUUGGUAAGGUAACGGCUUACCAAGGCAACGAUGCUUAGCCGACCUGAGAGGGUGAUCGGCCACACUGGAACUGAGACACGGUCCAGAGUCCUACGGGAGGCAGCAGUAGGGAAUAUUGCGCAAUGGGCGAAAGCCUGACGGAGCAACGCCGCGUGAGUGAUGAAGGUCUUCGGAUCGUAAAACACUGUUAUUAGGGAAGAAAAUAAGUGGAAGAAAAUGUGGACAUCUUGACGGUACCUAAAAAGAAAGCAACGGCUAACUACGUG
Molecule: ribosomal RNA, 497 nt
Filed under: uncultured bacterium
Lineage: Bacteria
Description: partial 16S ribosomal RNA
Rfam family: Bacterial small subunit ribosomal RNA
Source: RNAcentral